UGCUGCAAAACCAGCAAAGAAAGAGAAAGAUCUUCCUGGUGUGAACACGUCAGCGAUAUAUGAUCUGUGCAAGGAGGAUCAGCAGGCUGAGACGUUUCCUUGCCAGGACCCGCGCUCCGUUCUUCAUAACACCAACAACAUGGCGUAGUUGAGGACUGUUCUUCCUACCGUGGGACGCGGGAGUACUCCUUUGCUGCUGGUCCAUGUUGCACCAGUCUUGUCUAUGGACACCAGAGCCACGCCCCCAACCACGCCCCCGCCCCAGACCACGCCCCCCACCUCCCGAAAUCGGAGGUCUCAAGUCUCCUCGGAAGACGCCAUCAGCGCCUGGACAGAGACCUUGGCAGCCUGGACAGAGGCCUUGUGGUUGAUGGAGAAAUCGCCAUUUAUUUUGUUCUCCACCACCUGCCAUUGGCGUGGCUCCAAUUGGUCCAAGACCUGUUGAAAGUCCUGUUCAACACAAGUAAAUACACACAGCAAUCAUGUUCAACACAAGUAAAUACACACACCAAUCAUGUUCAACACAAGUAAAUACACACACCAAUCAUAGUGUAUAUAUGGCAUGAUAACUGCAGUAACAGAGGAGUGAUGAAUGUGUGAAAAUAUGUCCUGGUCUUUG
This is a long non-coding RNA of Nerophis lumbriciformis (worm pipefish), 619 nucleotides long. RefSeq lists it as uncharacterized. NCBI's taxonomy places the organism in Eukaryota, Metazoa, Chordata, Actinopteri, Syngnathiformes, Syngnathidae. The record is from RefSeq and is a predicted model, not a curated record.